AUUGAACGCUGGCGGCCGGCCUAACACAUGCAAGUCGAGCGGAUGAAGGGAGCUUGCUCCUGGAUUCAGCGGCGGACGGGUGAGUAAUGCCUAGGAAUCUGCCUGGUAGUGGGGGAUAACGCCCGGAAACGGGCGCUAAUACCGCAUACGUCCUGAGGGAGAAAGUGGGGGAUCUUCGGACCUCACGCUAUCAGAUGAGCCUAGGUCGGAUUAGCUAGUUGGUGGGGUAAAGGCCUACCAAGGCGACGAUCCGUAACUGGUCUGAGAGGAUGAUCAGUCACACUGGAACUGAGACACGGUCCAGACUCCUACGGGAGGCAGCAGUGGGGAAUAUUGGACAAUGGGCGAAAGCCUGAUCCAGCCAUGCCGCGUGUGUGAAGAAGGUCUUCGGAUUGUAAAGCACUUUAAGUUGGGAGGAAGGGCAGUAAGUUAAUACCUUGCUGUUUUGACGUUACCAACAGAAUAAGCACCGGCUAACUUCGUG
This 484-nucleotide ribosomal RNA is filed under the name uncultured bacterium. RNAcentral's name for it is "partial 16S ribosomal RNA". It matches the Rfam family "Bacterial small subunit ribosomal RNA", at positions 30 to 507 of the family's 1533-position model. The record is from RNAcentral.